RNAcentral lists this ribosomal RNA (253 nucleotides) under uncultured bacterium. RNAcentral's name for it is "partial 16S ribosomal RNA". It matches the Rfam family "Bacterial small subunit ribosomal RNA", at positions 524 to 776 of the family's 1533-position model. The record is from RNAcentral.
UACGGGGGGGGCAAGCGUUGUUCGGAAUUACUGGGCGUAAAGCGUGUGCAGGCGGUUUGUUAAGACAGGGGUGAAAUCCCCGGGCUUAACCUGGGAAUUGCGCUUGUUACUGGCAGACUAGAGUGCGUCAGAGGGAGGUGGAAUUCCACGUGUAGCAGUGAAAUGCGUAGAGAUGUGGAGGAACACCGAUGGCGAAGGCAGCCUCCUGGGAUGACACUGACGCUCAUACACGAAAGCGUGGGGAGCAAACAGG